CCCUUAGAUGUCCUGGGCCGCACGCGCGUUACACUGAUGCAUUCAACGAGCUUAUAACCUUGGCCGAGAGGCCUGGGCAAUCUUGUUAACGUGCAUCGUGAUAGGGAUAGAUUAUUGAAAUUAUUAAUCUUGAACGAGGAAUUCCUAGUAAAUGCAGAUCAUCAAUCUGCAUUGAUUACGUCCCUGCCCUUUGUACACACCGCCCGUCGCACCUACCGAUUGGAUGGUCCGGUGAAGCCUCGGGAUUGUGGUUCUUGCCGCUUUAUUGUGGCGUGACCGCGAGAACUUGUCUAAACCUUAUCAUCUAGAGGAAGGUGAAGUCGUAACA
This 328-nucleotide ribosomal RNA is filed under the name uncultured eukaryote. Its description in RNAcentral is "partial 18S ribosomal RNA". It matches the Rfam family "Eukaryotic small subunit ribosomal RNA", at positions 1470 to 1796 of the family's 1831-position model. The record is from RNAcentral.